This 207-nucleotide long non-coding RNA is filed under the name Homo sapiens (human). RNAcentral's name for it is "LHRI_LNC841.1". The record is from RNAcentral. Lineage: Eukaryota; Metazoa; Chordata; Mammalia; Primates; Hominidae.
GUUAAUACAGCAUAAUUGCUUAAAGGUAGAUUUGCAAAAGGAAGACUGAUUUGGGCUCUGACACUAACUGUAUGAUCUUGGUCAACUCACUUAACCUCUUUAAGCUUCAGUCUCCUUUCUUGUAAAAAGUGAUAAUAGUGCUAGCCUCAUGGGAUUGCUGUGAAGAUCAAAUGAGAUCAAACACACAAACACACACGUGGAAUUCUG